AAACUUAAAGGAAUUGACGGGGCCGCACAAGCGGUGGAGCAUGUGGUUAAUUCGACGCAACGCGAAGAACCUUACCAGGGCUUGACAUCCCCUGACCGCGUAUGAAAGUACGUUUUCACCCUCGGGUGACAGGGAGACAGGUGGUGCAUGGUUGUCGUCAGCUCGUGUCGUGAGAUGUUGGGUUAAGUCCCGCAACGAGCGCAACCCCUACGUUUAGUUGCUAACGCGUGAAGGCGAGCACUCUAGACGAACUGCCGUUGACAAAACGGAGGAAGGUGGGAUGACGUCAAAUCAUCAUGCCCCUUAUGUUCUGGGCUACACACGUGCUACAAUGGCCGGUACAGACGGACGCAAAGCCGCGAGGUGGAGCAAAUCCUAAAAAGCCGGUCUCAGUUCGGAUUGCAGGCUGCAAUUCGCCUGCAUGAAGUCGGAAUCGCUAGUAAUCGCAGGUCAGCAUACUGCGGUGAAUACGUUCCCGGGCCUU
RNAcentral lists this ribosomal RNA (484 nucleotides) under uncultured Pelotomaculum sp. Its description in RNAcentral is "bacterial SSU rRNA". It matches the Rfam family "Bacterial small subunit ribosomal RNA", at positions 897 to 1382 of the family's 1533-position model. Lineage: Bacteria; Bacillati; Bacillota; Clostridia; Eubacteriales; Desulfotomaculaceae. The record is from RNAcentral.